Molecule: ribosomal RNA, 397 nt
Filed under: uncultured bacterium
Lineage: Bacteria
Description: partial 16S ribosomal RNA
Rfam family: Bacterial small subunit ribosomal RNA
Source: RNAcentral
AUACGUAGGGGGCGAGCGUUGUCCGGAAUGAUUGGGCGUAAAGGGCGCGUAGGCGGCCUUUUAAGUCUGGAGUGAAAGUCCUGCUUUUAAGGUGGGAAUUGCUUUGGAUACUGGGAGGCUUGAGUGCAGGAGAGGUUAUCGGAAUUCCCGGUGUAGCGGUGAAAUGCGUAGAGAUCGGGAGGAACACCAGUGGCGAAGGCGGGUAACUGGACUGCAACUGACGCUGAGGCGCGAAAGUGCGGGGAGCAAACAGGAUUAGAUACCCUGGUAGUCCACACUGUAAACGAUGAAUGCUAGGUGUAAGAGGUAUCGACCCCUUUUGUGCCGGAGUCAACACAAUAAGCAUUCCGCCUGGGGAGUACGGCCGCAAGGUUGAAACUCAAAUGAAUUGACGGGG